GGAGAAUUCGUUUCGCUUGCACUUUGAUAUAUAAAUAUAAUCACUAACCUCUUCAUUUUCGCUGACACAUUCUCUAUUCUCCAUUCUUCACAUGUACACUUAACAAGCACAAAUUUUACCAUUCAUUUAACAAAUUUUACCAUUCAUUUAAUGAAAAUGGGGGAGGGAGCAAGAUUUGGAUGAAUAAUCACACCUCUAAUUGACACACUUUGCACUUGUUUACCACUAAUAAAGCAACACCCUUCAACCCAAAACCAUUCCCAUCUACCCUUCUCUCUAUCUUCUCUCCAAACUACCAUUCCUGACCCAAGGUCCCUGUACAAACAAAUUGCCCCAUCACCGCCCACACAUUUUGUGCCUUCCCAACUUGCAUUACCCUUCUUAAGUUUCAAUCCCAAUUCAAUAGGUGCCUUCUCAAUUAAACACCAAAUUUCUCCUUCAUUUAGCUCCCAUAUACAGGCAUCACCACUGCAGGUUCCACCCACAAGUGUCAACCUCCCAUUGCGCUGCACCAAUGCGGCAAACUCAAGCUUAUCUGCCAUGGGUACUCUCAAUUCUUGCCAUUUGUUGUACCCAAUCUCAUAGCACAUCACACUAUAGGCUCUUGCCGAAGUCAUCCAAUAGAGGACCCCAUUAGUGUAGACGCUCUCAAUUGGGGUCCAAACUGUUAGCCUUACUGAGAAUUCCACUGGCAUAGGUCCCACAAUUUGCCAUGUGUCGAGCUUUGAAUCGUACAUUUCCAACGUGGCUUCAUAUGUGGCACCGCCACAUGGAGCGUCGGAUAUUCCACCAGCCACGUAGACUCUGAAAUGUGGGGAUGGGCUAUGCUGGCUUGAGCUCAGAACUACAACACCGACUGCUGGAUUAGUCCUAGCAAUGUUCAACAUUGGGAGGUGUCUAAAUUGCCCAGUGAAAGGAUUACACAUACCCAAAAUGAGAAUUGUAGAAUUUGUGGCUCUUAGAAGGAUUAGGCUACCAAUUGAGGCAAUGGAUCGGAUUGGAUUGGGCAAAACCUCAAGAGAUAGCACAUGCCAUUUCUUGGCAAACGGAUUAUGAACGUAGCAACAUGGCUCACGGUUUCUUGUAGGAAGAGCUACAAACCAUGGUGGGUGGUGGUUGUGGAGCAUGGAAGGAGUUAGGCUUGUUGGGUAUGCAUCGGCACACGUGCGCCAAUGGUGGCAGACGGACCUAGUACGUGCCAAGGAGUCAGGGGAGAGGAAGGAGAAUAUCUUAGCUAGGAGAUCAAAGGGGAUAUUGCUCCACAUUUUCAAGAACAAGAAAAAUGGGGUAAAGGUUUUUCAAGAUUAAGUAUAUAUAUAUAUAUCUAUAGUAGAAUGAUAAUUCAUGUGGUCCAAAAUGUAAUUAUUGGAAAUGAAUAAUUGAGUAAUAUAAGCAUAGGGAUGUGUGAGCCCACAUGAACCACUUGCUCAGAGUUACAUGUGAGCCUUUCAAUUUUUAAAUCUUAUGAAUU
Molecule: unclassified non-coding RNA, 1471 nt
Filed under: Hevea brasiliensis (rubber tree)
Lineage: Eukaryota; Viridiplantae; Streptophyta; Magnoliopsida; Malpighiales; Euphorbiaceae
Source: RNAcentral